RNAcentral lists this ribosomal RNA (254 nucleotides) under uncultured bacterium. Its description in RNAcentral is "partial 16S ribosomal RNA". It matches the Rfam family "Bacterial small subunit ribosomal RNA", at positions 524 to 777 of the family's 1533-position model. The record is from RNAcentral.
GACAGAGGGUGCAAACGUUGUUCGGAAUUACUGGGCGUAAAGCGCGUGUAGGCGGCUAUGUAAGUCGGGCGUGAAAUCCCACGGCUCAACCGUGGAAGUGCACCCGAAACUGCGUAGCUAGAGUCCUGGAGAGGAAGGUGGAAUGCUUGGUGUAGAGGUGAAAUUCGUAGAUAUCAAGCGGAACACCGGUGGCGAAGGCGGCCUUCUGGACAGUGACUGACGCUGAGACGCGAAAGCGUGGGGAGCAAACAGGG